UUAAAGGAUGACCGAACACUGGGGUAGAAUCCGUUCUGUGUGACCCCAGGGGAGCCCAGGGAAGGCCAUCAUCCUGCUCUGGGUUGGCAGUCGGAGAGAUUCCAGGCCCCUGUGAAGAAAGCGCUGCCUCUCUGAGCAUCCCAGGACUCAGCAGGCUCUCUCCCUGCCCUUCUGUGUUUCCUUCCAAUCCCACACUCGCCACCUUGACCUUGCCUCUUCAGCAGAGUCUAGAGGAGUCUUUGGUCUUAUAAGGGAGCAAGAGUUAGACUUCCUCGACGACAAAGUGCAGGAGCCCGCUGGUAUGUCUUUUUUUUUUCUCCCUUUAGGGAAGAUAAAAGUAUUGGGCCGGCUCCCUUCCUCACCUGGGCAAUCUAGACUGUUCCAGAGCAAGAGUUCCAACGAAGAAGCAUAGCACUCUGGUCUAAGCAUGGAAAACUUAUUAAUGGAAAAUUAAUGGAAAUUAAUGGAAAACUUAAACUGGUGAAUAAAAUGUACUGUCUGCCUAGCGUGCAAAAUAGCAACAAAAUUUAAAAAUACGUGUUAAGCUGUUGUUUUUACUUGACUAGUAAUUGGCAAAAUAUUACAGACUACUGAAUUUAAUUAUCAUUGUACGUGUCUAGGUCAUCUUUUGAUGAGCUGGCAAUGUUUACAUAAAUAAUAAAUAGAGGCUUAAAUAAUGAUUCUUAUAUAAUCACUACAUACAUUUU
This 707-nucleotide long non-coding RNA is filed under the name Homo sapiens (human). Its description in RNAcentral is "HSALNT0200932". The record is from RNAcentral. Lineage: Eukaryota; Metazoa; Chordata; Mammalia; Primates; Hominidae.